RNAcentral lists this ribosomal RNA (473 nucleotides) under uncultured bacterium. RNAcentral's name for it is "bacterial SSU rRNA". It matches the Rfam family "Bacterial small subunit ribosomal RNA", at positions 328 to 793 of the family's 1533-position model. The record is from RNAcentral.
CGCGAUCACUCCGUACGGGAGGCAGCAGUGGGGAAUAUUGCACAAUGGGCGCAAGCCUGAUGCAGCCAUGCCGCGUGUGUGAAGAAGGCCUUCGGGUUGUAAAGCACUUUCAGUCGUGAGGAAGGUAGUGUAGUUAAUAGCUGCAUUAUUUGACGUUAGCGACAGAAGAAGCACCGGCUAACUCCGUGCCAGCAGCCGCGGUAAUACGGAGGGUGCGAGCGUUAAUCGGAAUUACUGGGCGUAAAGCGCAUGCAGGUGGUUUGUUAAGUCAGAUGUGAAAGCCCGGGGCUUAACCUCGGAAUUGCAUUUGAAACUGGCAGGCUAGAGUACUGUAGAGGGGGUAGAAUUUCAGGUGUAGCGGUGAAAUGCGUAGAGAUCUGAAGGAAUACCGGUGGCGAAGGCGGCCCCCUGGACAGAUACUGACACUCAGAUGCGAAAGCGUGGGGAGCAAACAGGAUUAGAUACCCUGGUAG